AGACCCGAAACCCGGUGAUCUAGCCAUGGGCAGGUUGAAGGUUGGGUAACACUAACUGGAGGACCGAACCGACUAAUGUUGAAAAAUUAGCGGAUGACCUGUGGCUGGGGGUGAAAGGCCAAUCAAACCGGGAGAUAGCUGGUUCUCCCCGAAAGCUAUUUAGGUAGCGCCUCGUGAAUUCAUCUCCGGGGGUAGAGCACUGUUUCGGCUAGGGGGCCAUCCCGGCUUACCAACCCGAUGCAAACUGCGAAUACCGGAGAAUGUUAUCACGGGAGACACACGGCGGGUGCUAACGUCCGUCGUGAAGAGGGAAACAACCCAGACCGCCAGCUAAGGUCCCAAAGUCAUGGUUAAGUGGGAAACGAUGUGGGAAGGCCCAGACAGCCAGGAUGUUGGCUUAGAAGCAGCCAUCAUUUAAAGAAAGCGUAAUAGCUCACUGGUCGAGUCGGCCUGCGCGGAAGAUGUAACGGGGCUAAACCAUGCACCGAAGCUGCGGCAGCGACGCUUAUGCGUUGUUGGGUAGGGGAGCGUUCUGUAAGCCUGUGAAGGUGGCCUGUGAGGGUUGCUGGAGGUAUCAGAAGUGCGAAUGCUGACAUAAGUAACGAUAAAGCGGGUGAAAAGCCCGCUCGCCGGAAGACCAAGGGUUCCUGUCCAACGUUAAUCGGGGCAGGGUGAGUCGACCCCUAAGGCGAGGCCGAAAGGCGUAGUCGAUGGGAAACGGGUUAAUAUUCCCGUACUUGGUGUUACUGCGAAGGGGGGACGGAGAAGGCUAUGUUGGCCGGGCGACGGUUGUCCCGGUUUAAGCGUGUAGGUGUGUGUUCCAGGUAAAUCCGGUUCACUUUAACACUGAGGCGUGACGACGAGGCACUACGGUGCUGAAGCAACAAAUGCCCUGCUUCCAGGAAAAGCCUCUAAGCAUCAGGUAACAUCAAAUCGUACCCCAAACCGACACAGGUGGUCAGGUAGAGAAUACCAAGGCGCUUGAGAGAACUCGGGUGAAGGAACUAGGCAAAAUGGUGCCGUAACUUCGGGAGAAGGCACGCUGACACGUAGGUGAAGUGAUUUACUCAUGGAGCUGAAGUCAGUCGAAGAUACCAGCUGGCUGCAACUGUUUAUUAAAAACACAGCACUGUGCAAACACGAAAGUGGACGUAUACGGUGUGACGCCUGCCCGGUGCCGGAAGGUUAAUUGAUGGGGUCAGCGCAAGCGAAGCUCCUGAUCGAAGCCCCGGUAAACGGCGGCCGUAACUAUAACGGUCCUAAGGUAGCGAAAUUCCUUGUCGGGUAAGUUCCGACCUGCACGAAUGGCGUAAUGAUGGCCAGGCUGUCUCCACCCGAGACUCAGUGAAAUUGAACUCGCUGUGAAGAUGCAGUGUACCCGCGGCAAGACGGAAAGACCCCGUGAACCUUUACUAUAGCUUGACACUGAACAUUGAGCCUUGAUGUGUAGGAUAGGUGGGAGGCUUUGAAGCGUGGACGCCAGUCUGC
RNAcentral lists this ribosomal RNA (1488 nucleotides) under Salmonella enterica subsp. enterica serovar Dublin. RNAcentral's name for it is "partial 23S ribosomal RNA". It matches the Rfam family "Bacterial large subunit ribosomal RNA", at positions 711 to 2179 of the family's 2925-position model. The record is from RNAcentral. Lineage: Bacteria; Pseudomonadati; Pseudomonadota; Gammaproteobacteria; Enterobacterales; Enterobacteriaceae.